ACGGGUGCGAAGUUGUUGAUGCCAUGCUUCCAGGAAAAUCCUCUAAGCUUCAGGUACAUGUUGACCGUACCCGAAACCGACACAGGUGGUCAGGUAGAGAAUACUAAGGCGCUUGAGAGAACUCGGGUGAAGGAACUAGGCAAAAUAGUACCGUAACUUCGGGAGAAGGUACGCCAGAGCUGGUGAAAUCCUCGCGGAUGGAGCUGGAGCUGGCCGCAGUGACCAGGUGGCUGGGACUGUUUAUUAAAAACACAGCACUCUGCAAACUCGAAAGAGGACGUAUAGGGUGUGACACCUGCCCGGUGCCGGAAGGUUAAUUGAUGGGGUUAGCGUAAGCGAAGCUCUUGAUCGAAGCCCCGGUAAACGGCGGCCGUAACUAUAACGGUCCUAAGGUAGCGAAAUUCCUUGUCGGGUAAGUUCCGACCUGCACGAAUGGUGUAACCAUGGCCACGCUGUCUCCACCCGAGACUCAGUGAAAUUGAAAUCGCCGUGAAGAUGCGGUGUACCCGCGGCUAGACGGAAAGACCCCGUGAACCUUUACUACAGCUUGGCACUGAACAUUGAACCUGCAUGUGUAGGAUAGGUGGGAGGCUAUGAAACACCGGCGCCAGUUGGUGUGGAGCCAUCCUUGAAAUACCACCCUUGUAUGUUUGAUGUUCUAACUCAGGACCGUUAUCCGGUUCGAAGACAGUGCCUGGUGGGUAGUUUGACUGGGGCGGUCUCCUCCCAAAGAGUAACGGAGGAGCACGAAGGUUGGCUAAGUACGGUUGGACAUCGUACGGUUAGUGUAAUGGCACAAGCCAGCUUAACUGCGAGACGGACAGGUCGAGCAGGUGCGAAAGCAGGUCAUAGUGAUCCGGUGGUUCUGAAUGGAAGGGCCAUCGCUCAACGGAUAAAAGGUACUCCGGGGAUAACAGGCUGAUACCGCCCAAGAGUUCAUAUCGACGGCGGUGUUUGGCACCUCGAUGUCGGCUCAUCACAUCCUGGGGCUGUAGUCGGUCCCAAGGGUAUGGCUGUUCGCCAUUUAAAGUGGUACGCGAGCUGGGUUUAGAACGUCGUGAGACAGUUCGGUCCCUAUCUGCCGUGGGCGUUUGAGAGUUGAGAGGGGUUGCUCCUAGUACGAGAGGACCGGAGUGAACGAACCUCUGGUGUUCGGGUUGUCACGCCAGUGGCACUGCCCGGUAGCUAUGUUCGGAAUCGAUAACCGCUGAAAGCAUCUAAGCGGGAAGCGAGCCUCAAGAUAAGCUCUCACUGACAUGUAAUUGUCCUGUAGGGUUGUUGAAGAC
Molecule: ribosomal RNA, 1286 nt
Filed under: Pseudidiomarina indica
Lineage: Bacteria; Pseudomonadati; Pseudomonadota; Gammaproteobacteria; Alteromonadales; Idiomarinaceae
Description: Bacterial large subunit ribosomal RNA
Rfam family: Bacterial large subunit ribosomal RNA
Source: Rfam by way of RNAcentral